Molecule: ribosomal RNA, 279 nt
Filed under: uncultured bacterium
Lineage: Bacteria
Description: partial 16S ribosomal RNA
Rfam family: Bacterial small subunit ribosomal RNA
Source: RNAcentral
UGCCAGCAGCCGCGGUAAUACGAAGGGGGCUAGCGUUGUUCGGAAUUACUGGGCGUAAAGCGCACGUAGGCGGAUUGUUUAGUUAGAGGUGAAAUCCCAGGGCUUAACCCUGGAACUGCCUUUAAUACUGGCAGUCUAGAGUCCGAGAGAGGUGAGUGGAAUUCCGAGUGUAGAGGUGAAAUUCGUAGAUAUUCGGAGGAACACCAGUGGCGAAGGCGGCUCACUGGCUCGGUACUGACGCUGAGGUGCGAAAGCGUGGGGAGCAAACAGGAUUAGAUA